This 1531-nucleotide ribosomal RNA is filed under the name Lactiplantibacillus plantarum. RNAcentral's name for it is "bacterial SSU rRNA". It matches the Rfam family "Bacterial small subunit ribosomal RNA". The record is from RNAcentral. Lineage: Bacteria; Bacillati; Bacillota; Bacilli; Lactobacillales; Lactobacillaceae.
AGAGUUUGAUCCUGGCUCAGGACGAACGCUGGCGGCGUGCCUAAUACAUGCAAGUCGAACGAACUCUGGUAUUGAUUGGUGCUUGCAUCAUGAUUUACAUUUGAGUGAGUGGCGAACUGGUGAGUAACACGUGGGAAACCUGCCCAGAAGCGGGGGAUAACACCUGGAAACAGAUGCUAAUACCGCAUAACAACUUGGACCGCAUGGUCCGAGUUUGAAAGAUGGCUUCGGCUAUCACUUUUGGAUGGUCCCGCGGCGUAUUAGCUAGAUGGUGAGGUAACGGCUCACCAUGGCAAUGAUACGUAGCCGACCUGAGAGGGUAAUCGGCCACAUUGGGACUGAGACACGGCCCAAACUCCUACGGGAGGCAGCAGUAGGGAAUCUUCCACAAUGGACGAAAGUCUGAUGGAGCAACGCCGCGUGAGUGAAGAAGGGUUUCGGCUCGUAAAACUCUGUUGUUAAAGAAGAACAUAUCUGAGAGUAACUGUUCAGGUAUUGACGGUAUUUAACCAGAAAGCCACGGCUAACUACGUGCCAGCAGCCGCGGUAAUACGUAGGUGGCAAGCGUUGUCCGGAUUUAUUGGGCGUAAAGCGAGCGCAGGCGGUUUUUUAAGUCUGAUGUGAAAGCCUUCGGCUCAACCGAAGAAGUGCAUCGGAAACUGGGAAACUUGAGUGCAGAAGAGGACAGUGGAACUCCAUGUGUAGCGGUGAAAUGCGUAGAUAUAUGGAAGAACACCAGUGGCGAAAGCGGCUGUCUGGUCUGUAACUGACGCUGAGGCUCGAAAGUAUGGGUAGCAAACAGGAUUAGAUACCCUGGUAGUCCAUACCGUAAACGAUGAAUGCUAAGUGUUGGAGGGUUUCCGCCCUUCAGUGCUGCAGCUAACGCAUUAAGCAUUCCGCCUGGGGAGUACGGCCGCAAGGCUGAAACUCAAAGGAAUUGACGGGGGCCCGCACAAGCGGUGGAGCAUGUGGUUUAAUUCGAAGCUACGCGAAGAACCUUACCAGGUCUUGACAUACUAUGCAAAUCUAAGAGAUUAGACGUUCCCUUCGGGGACAUGGAUACAGGUGGUGCAUGGUUGUCGUCAGCUCGUGUCGUGAGAUGUUGGGUUAAGUCCCGCAACGAGCGCAACCCUUAUUAUCAGUUGCCAGCAUUAAGUUGGGCACUCUGGUGAGACUGCCGGUGACAAACCGGAGGAAGGUGGGGAUGACGUCAAAUCAUCAUGCCCCUUAUGACCUGGGCUACACACGUGCUACAAUGGAUGGUACAACGAGUUGCGAACUCGCGAGAGUAAGCUAAUCUCUUAAAGCCAUUCUCAGUUCGGAUUGUAGGCUGCAACUCGCCUACAUGAAGUCGGAAUCGCUAGUAAUCGCGGAUCAGCAUGCCGCGGUGAAUACGUUCCCGGGCCUUGUACACACCGCCCGUCACACCAUGAGAGUUUGUAACACCCAAAGUCGGUGGGGUAACCUUUUAGGAACCAGCCGCCUAAGGUGGGACAGAUGAUUAGGGUGAAGUCGUAACAAGGUAACCGUA